This 479-nucleotide ribosomal RNA is filed under the name uncultured bacterium. Its description in RNAcentral is "partial 16S ribosomal RNA". It matches the Rfam family "Bacterial small subunit ribosomal RNA", at positions 28 to 507 of the family's 1533-position model. The record is from RNAcentral.
GAUGAACGCUAGCGGGAGGCCUAACACAUGCAAGCCGAGCGGUAUUUGUUCUUCGGAACAGAGAGAGCGGCGCACGGGUGCGGAACACGCGUGCAACCUGCCUUUAUCUGGGGGAUAGCCUUUCGAAAGGAAGAUUAAUACCCCAUAAUAUAUUGAGUGGCAUCAUUUGAUAUUGAAAACUCCGGUGGAUAGAGAUGGGCACGCGCAAGAUUAGAUAGUUGGUGAGGUAACGGCUCACCAAGUCAAUGAUCUUUAGGGGGCCUGAGAGGGUGAUCCCCCACACUGGUACUGAGACACGGACCAGACUCCUACGGGAGGCAGCAGUGAGGAAUAUUGGACAAUGGGUUAGCGCCUGAUCCAGCCAUCCCGCGUGAAGGACGACGGCCCUAUGGGUUGUAAACUUCUUUUGUAUAGGGAUAAACCUACUCUCGUGAGAGUAGCUGAAGGUACUAUACGAAUAAGCACCGGCUAACUCCGUG